AAAAAGGCUAUGAAGAGAAGAGUAAUCCCUUUUGAUGUCCACAGAGAGCUUCCGUAGAGUAUUCACGUAAUAUUCGCUGCUGAAAGGAAGUGACACAGACCGGAUGAACCAGGCCUCGGAGCCGCAUACGGAUCCUUUUUUAGGUGAUGCUAUGACGGGAGUUCCCGUUACAGAACAAGAGUAUUAAGUCAUUUAGUUGAUGCGUACUUAAUAAGCUUAAGCCGGUGACGGUUUAAGGAACAAGGGUGGCAACACGAUCAUUCGUCCCUGUA
Molecule: non-coding RNA, 272 nt
Filed under: Butyrivibrio fibrisolvens
Lineage: Bacteria; Bacillati; Bacillota; Clostridia; Lachnospirales; Lachnospiraceae
Description: T-box sequence
Rfam family: T-box leader
About the family: Uncharged tRNA acts as the effector for transcription antitermination of genes in the T-box leader family. T-boxes are found upstream of many aminoacyl-tRNA synthetase genes and some amino acid biosynthetic genes usually in Gram-positive bacteria. The anticodon of a specific tRNA base pairs to a specifier sequence within the T-box motif, and the NCCA acceptor tail of the tRNA base pairs to a conserved bulge in the T-box antiterminator hairpin.
Source: RNAcentral